This 72-nucleotide transfer RNA is filed under the name Carnobacterium antarcticum. RNAcentral describes it as "tRNA-Asn". It matches the Rfam family "tRNA". From Rfam's summary of the family: Transfer RNA (tRNA) molecules are approximately 80 nucleotides in length. Their secondary structure includes four short double-helical elements and three loops (D, anti-codon, and T loops). Lineage: Bacteria; Bacillati; Bacillota; Bacilli; Lactobacillales; Carnobacteriaceae. The record is from RNAcentral.
UGAAUAGUAGCACAAUGGUAGUGCGCUUCACUGUUAAUGAAGUGGUUGCAAGUUCGAGUCUUGCCUAUUCAG